UAUUUUAUGAAUGUUUAAUAAUCUGUGCAUUGAGUAAAUUUAUGACAAUCGCAUGUUAAUUGCCUGCCUGGCGCCGAUAUGUCAGUCAUCCAGUGGAAGG
RNAcentral lists this small RNA (100 nucleotides) under Drosophila erecta. RNAcentral's name for it is "GG26353". Lineage: Eukaryota; Metazoa; Arthropoda; Insecta; Diptera; Drosophilidae. The record is from RNAcentral.